CGAUUCCAACUUCAUGCACUCGAGUUUGCAGAGUGCAAUCCGAACUGAGAUGGUUUUUGGAGAUUAGCUCGACCUCGCGAUCUCGCUGCCCACUGUCACCACCAUUGUAGCACGUGUGUAGCCCAGCCCGUAAGGGCCAUGAGGACUUGACGUCAUCCCCACCUUCCUCCAGCUUAUCACUGGCAGUCCCUUUAGAGUGCCCAACUAAAUGCUGGCAACUAAAGGCGAGGGUUGCGCUCGUUGCGGGACUUAACCCAACAUCUCACGACACGAGCUGACGACAGCCAUGCAGCACCUGUGUCCUACGCCCCGAAAGGCCCAAAGUGUCUCCACUAAGGUUCAUAGGCAUGUCAAGAGC
RNAcentral lists this ribosomal RNA (358 nucleotides) under uncultured bacterium. RNAcentral describes it as "partial 16S ribosomal RNA". The record is from RNAcentral.